Long non-coding RNA from Oncorhynchus tshawytscha (Chinook salmon), 408 nucleotides. The record is from Ensembl. Lineage: Eukaryota; Metazoa; Chordata; Actinopteri; Salmoniformes; Salmonidae.
GGUUUAACACAGAGGGGUUGGAAGGGGUAGGGUUUACACAGAGGGGUUGGAAGGGGUAGGGUUUACACAGAGGGGUUGGAAGGGGUAGGGUUUACACAGAGGGGUUGGAAGGGGGUUAACACAGAGGGGUUGGAAGGGGGUUAACACAGAGGGGUUGGAAGGGGGGGGGGGUAGGGUUAACACAGAGGGGUUGGAAGGGGUAGGGUUAACACAGAGGGGUUGGAAGGGGUAGGGUUAACACAGAGGGGUUGGAAGGGGUAGGGUUAACACAGAGGGGUUGGAAGGGGUAGGGUUAACCCAGAGGGGUUGGAAGGGGUAGGGUUAACACAGAGGGGUUGGAAGGGGUAGGGUUAACACAGAGGGGUUGGAAGGGGUAGGGUUAACACAGAGGGGUUGGAAGGGGUAGGG